GCAGCCGGCCGGUCUGCCGCUUGCGUCUUUGGGCGCAUGAGGAAAGUCCGGGCAACACAGAGCAUCCCACUUCCUAACAGAAAGCUGUCCGCGAGGGUGGAGUAACGCAGAAGAAAAGAACCGCCUGCCGACGGCGUUUUUCCCUUCGGGGAGAAUGCCCGACGCAAGGUAAGGGUGAGAAGGCGGGGUAAGAGCCCACCAGCCUUGUGGUGACACAAGGGCUGUGCGUCUUGGGAGUUGUAAGGUCAUGUAAACCGACGUCAAGAGAGUUGCUCGCUCCAUGUCGGAGGGUAGACCGCUAAAGCCGUCUGGUGACAGACGGACAAGAUAAAUGGCAGGCAUCCCCCUUACGGAGGAAACAGAACCCGGCUUACAGGCCGACUGCUUUU
Molecule: RNase P RNA, 389 nt
Filed under: Bacteroides sp.
Lineage: Bacteria; Pseudomonadati; Bacteroidota; Bacteroidia; Bacteroidales; Bacteroidaceae
Description: RNase P RNA component class A
Rfam family: Bacterial RNase P class A
About the family: Ribonuclease P (RNase P) is a ubiquitous endoribonuclease, found in archaea, bacteria and eukarya as well as chloroplasts and mitochondria. Its best characterised activity is the generation of mature 5'-ends of tRNAs by cleaving the 5'-leader elements of precursor-tRNAs. Cellular RNase Ps are ribonucleoproteins.
Source: RNAcentral